GACGGAGGAUGCAAGUGUUAUCCGGAAUCACUGGGCUUAAAGCGUGUGUAGGCGGAUCGUUAAGUGCCUUGUGAAAUCCCACGGCUCAACCGUGGAACUGCUUGGCAUACUGGCGGUCUUGAGCAACCUAGGGGCGAGCGGAACAAAUGGUGGAGCGGUGAAAUGCGUAGAUAUCAUUUGGAACGCCAAUGGUGAAAACAGCUCGCUGGGGGUUUGCUGACGCUGAGACACGAAAGCCAGGGGAGCAAACGGG
Molecule: ribosomal RNA, 253 nt
Filed under: uncultured bacterium
Lineage: Bacteria
Description: partial 16S ribosomal RNA
Rfam family: Bacterial small subunit ribosomal RNA
Source: RNAcentral